Molecule: ribosomal RNA, 245 nt
Filed under: uncultured bacterium
Lineage: Bacteria
Description: partial small subunit ribosomal RNA
Rfam family: Bacterial small subunit ribosomal RNA
Source: RNAcentral
AGAAUCAACGCUGGCGGCGCGCUUAACACAUGCAAGUCGAACGAGAAAGUCCGCAAGGAUGAGUAAAGUGGCGUACGGGUGAGUAACACGUGGAUAAUCCACCUCUUAGUGGGGAAUAACUUUGGGAAACCGAAGCUAAUACCGCAUGAGCCUGAGAAGGGAAAGCAAGCAAUUGCGCUGAGAGAGGAGUCCGCGGCCGAUUAGCUAGUUGGUAGGGUAAUGGCCUACCAAGGCGAUGAUCGGUA